AUUGAACGCUGGCGGCAUGCCUUACACAUGCAAGUCGAACGGUAACGCGGGGAAACCUGGCGACGAGUGGCGAACGGGAGCGUAACGCAUCGGAACGUGCGCAGGAGUGGGGGAUCGCGCGGCGACAGCCGGAUUAAUACCGCAUACGACCUACGGGAGAAGGGGGGGGCUCGCAAGACCUCUCGCUACUGGAGCGGCCGAGGUCAGAUUAGGUAGUUGGUGGGGUAAAGGCUUACCAAGCCGACGAUCUGUAGCUGGUCUGAGAGGACGACCGGCCACACUGGGACUGAGACACGGCCCAGACUCCUACGGGAGGCAGCAGUGGGGAAUUUUGGACAAUGGGCGAAAGCCUGAUCCAGCCAUGCCGCGUGCGGGAAGAAGGCCUUCGGGUUGUAAACCGCUUUUGUCAGUGAAGAAAUCUUCUGGGAUAAUACCUCGGGAGGAUGACGGUACCUGAAGAAUAAGCACCGGCUAACUACGUGCCAGCCGCCGCCGUAA
RNAcentral lists this ribosomal RNA (498 nucleotides) under uncultured bacterium. RNAcentral describes it as "partial 16S ribosomal RNA". It matches the Rfam family "Bacterial small subunit ribosomal RNA", at positions 29 to 523 of the family's 1533-position model. The record is from RNAcentral.